AAGGAUACCAAAUUACAACAAAUGCGGUGCGCAAACCCAAAUAUAUUAGAUACAUGACGAGAAAGAUCUAGUGAAAAGAAUAUAACAUAAAAGCUACUAAAACUGAUGUAACUAAAUUCAGAGUAACAAGGAAACCAGGAUGUAUCAAAAACAUCAAUAUUUUAGAAUAUCAGCUACUAAAGCACAUGAGCUUAAGAAACUUGCUUCAAAUUAUAGAAACCAUUACGAGAUGAGUCCAAACACAAUCUGUUAACAAUUUGGCGAAGAUUUCAUAAGGUCAACUUAUACGGUGUCCGUGUUGCCAAAAAAAAACGACUUAAUAAACUAAUUACCAAAAAAUGGGUUAAAUAGUAUUGACUAUUGAAAAAAUUCAUAUCCCCAGAUGAGUUAAAAUUUAAUCAGUUCGGCAAAGACUUCUUAAGGUCAACUUAUACGGUGUCCGGGUUGCCAAACAAAUUAUAAUAAAUAGUCACUAAAAACACUUGAAAUGGGUUAAAUAAUAACGACUAUUAAAACAACCAUCUCUCCAGAUCUCAAUCUGUUAGCAGUACGGCAAACUUCACAAGAGUCACUUACACAGAGUACUUUUAAUAAAUAGGUUCCGAAAACGUUUGCAAUAAAUAAAACAAUAUGUACUAUUAAAAACCAAUAAUUUCGACAGAUGAGUCUGAAUUUAAUCUGUUACAUCCGAUAGAGGGCUACUUGACUGCUUAAUGAUAAAUACGUUUCGAGUCCAGACUCGUCAGCGCUAAGGAUUUUAGAUUUAUGCUAUAGAAGAAGAGUGAUUUGUUCAAUUGAUGCUCAAUAUUCUAAGAUUAAAGUUCUUAUCAUAAAUGGGCAUUUUAGCAUUAGAUACGCCUGUUUUAAAUGCUACGCAAAGGCUUAUUAAUAUGCUGACGAUUCAAGUCAGAAAGAGCGCAUAAUUCACAUUCUGUGCAUUAAAAUAAACCAUUGAAAAAAUAUGAUAUCAAAGAACUUUAGCGCAAAUUUCUA
Molecule: long non-coding RNA, 993 nt
Organism: Teleopsis dalmanni
Lineage: Eukaryota; Metazoa; Arthropoda; Insecta; Diptera; Diopsidae
Exons: 3
Source: RefSeq, a predicted model, not a curated record